RNAcentral lists this long non-coding RNA (2027 nucleotides) under Homo sapiens (human). RNAcentral describes it as "HSALNT0338495". Lineage: Eukaryota; Metazoa; Chordata; Mammalia; Primates; Hominidae. The record is from RNAcentral.
UCAGUGGAGCCAUCGCUGACGUUCUUGCCUUUUCUUUCUUGCAGGACGUUGACAAAGGAACGCACGCCGACACUCCCACAUGAACAGCUGGCUGCUUCCCAGCGUCCUACGGGAGAGCUACCGGCUUCUAGGCAACGCUGCGUGUGAUCUGUGGGGGAGCCUGGCCACUCCUGGAGGUUCCAAGGUCAAAGAAACGCAUUCCGGAUGCGACGGAUUUGAUCUUGGAAAGCUGCUUUGAAGAUACGAUAGCUAUUCCCUAUUGUUCACUUUAAGGCAAACAAUGUAUACAUUUUUCUGUGUCAGGCUCCUCUGUGAAGUUAGUGAAACGGUAGCUUAGUUUGCUCCCAUCUCCUGUUCCGCCCUGCUGGUUUUCGAUUGUGCGUCACUGAAUUGCCAUCAGAAAUCCAGUCCCGACUGCGUGUGCGAGGCCAGGGAGGGAGGUGAGAGGCGGCCUCUCGGACACACUCUGCCAUGGGCCGGAAGCAGGAGGCACCCUCUUUGUGAUGAUCUCUGAGAGCUAAGGAGAGACUCCAGCACCACCCUUUCUCCUGGUGCCCUGUCCAUAACUAAGUGUCCAGAAGUCUCCUCCACAGGCAUUUUCUCUGCUCAUUCUCCUAGUAAUCCUGUGAAGGAGACGUGUUCUCCAUUCUAUAGGAGAGGACUCUGAGGUUCAGAAAACUCAAGUCAGAGAAAGCAUGAGGUUGGACUUCGCUUCUUGGCCCGGGUCGGACUGUAGGCUGCUGCUGGAGCUGUGCGGCUUUGGGUAGGUGGCCUGGGCACUAUGUGUUCACCAAACGCACUUCCCUUCCAUCCUGGGUGCAAGGCGACCUCCGAUCCCAGCCUUUCCUGUUGGGCUCAGCAAUGGAAACAAGCAGUGGGGCCCUGCGCUCCAUGCAGGGUGGAUCUAGAACCUUCCGAGGACUUGAAACCCUCAGAGGGGGACAGGGUGGGGAGACACAGAGAAGGCCCAGGAAUGACCUUGUGGGAAGUCGCUUAUCCACCAGGAACUCUGGUGCUGAACUUUUUCUAAGCGAAAGUUAACUUCUGUUGGAUUAAGACCCUGAAGAUUGGGCUUUAACACCUGUUGUGUUACCUGCACUCAAACAAACCAGGGCUCCUUACUCAGCCCUCGGGAGCCUUGGCAUUCUCACCUCUAAAGCAGGAGGAGUCGUGAUACCUGCCUUGAGGAAUUUGAGCAAAGUUAAACGACCUGAACUAUUUGGGCGUUUCUUGACCAAUGUCCGACCUUGGGAGGUGCUGGAUGAAUUUUUAUUUCUCUACUUUAAGUCAGCCUUUCUACCUUGUUGCUCUUCUCAGCUGCCUUUCUCUGAGCCUCCUUCAUCACUCUGUUCAUUUCUGUGAGACAAAGAUCAUUACAACUGCCUUAAUAUUUCGGUGCAAGACGCACCGUGACCUGACAUUGCUCUACCCCGCCUCCUGCCACGAUCAUUCUUUUGUAGCAAUAUUCCGCCAGCUUCAUUUCAUGCAGUGAGUGGAACAAGAGUCAGAACACCAGGGCGGCUGAGCCUAUCGAUCAAGCCUCCACCUAAUGACAGACAUACUUGAGUCCCACAGUCAUAAGGAGGAUGAAGUCUCUCUCUGGCUGGACCUGGACUGCAGUCACACUCUAAGAGCUCCUCUUUCUACACCUCUGCCAGUGGGCGUUCGGUCAGAGACAAGCUAUGGCACCGGCUCCCGGACGCACGGGAGGACUCCUACCAGGGACAGAGUCCGCACAGGUACCAGAGCAAUGAGGAAGCAGGACCCAGACCCCUGACUCCUAACUCCAGGUGAAGUCCACCCUGAGCUCAGGAGCAGAGCUGCCUCCAUCGGGUGUGGAGAGACAGAGCCUCCUCCCCAGCCAUGCCUCCUCAUCGGCCCACGGGAGCUGCUGUGACUCUGACCCCUGUACCUGGCUCUGUCGACCGGAAUAGUCAGUGGGCAGCCAGCACACCUUUGGGUGCUCUGUAUGAGUGGGAUUUUCUCCUGAUUAGACAUUUUAAAAGAUUGUCAACAAAAAGAACAAA